AACAUGGGGAUAGUUCAGGUGGCCAGAAGCUGAGAGAUACGCGGCGGCGGCUGCGUGUCGGAACAACUCGGCCUGGCGCGUCUCUGCAGGGCACGUUCCUUCGGGGCCGCUUCUCCCCGCCAGGCUCCAUGAUUUGUCUCCCUAGUAUGUCACUACUCUCAUAGAAGCUAUACUUUGACUCUUAAACUGAUGCUCUGCAGAUCUGCUUAUUAUAUCUGCUGAAACAGAGGGCCUGAUCCACACUCUACAAAUGCUUCAGCAGCUACUGUGUACUUUAAACAAACAGCAGGGAGAGAAAUCUAGAAAUGAUGCAGAAAUAGAGAGAGAAAUUGAAUAACUCAAGGAAACUGACUAGGAAGCCAGAAUGACUGCAGGAUCUACCAGAGUUAGGCGACUCCUGCAAAACUUGGAAACCCUUCAUGCACUUUGAGCUGAUGGUUGGGUAGAAGCCAAGAACCAACACUAAAAAAUGGUAUUGCUGAAAUCACCAGAUGGUGGAUGGGGCUGGGUGAUUGUCCUUGUUUCCUUCUUUACUCAGUUCUUCUGUUACGGGUCUCCAUUAGCAGUUGGAGUCUUGUAUCUGGAAUGGUUGGAUACUUUUGGAGAAGGAAAAGGAAAGACUGCUUGGGUUGGAUCCCUUGCAAGUGGAGUCGGAUUGCUUGCCAGUAAGUCUAGAAGCAAUAUGUGUUUAUAAAUUACAUGCUUUUCACAUUUUAUAUAGAUUUAACAGCUAUUAAUACUUUUAAAAUGCACUAAAUGAUGAAUUUAAGAAUGGAUUCUACAAAGGAUUUCCAUACUGUAUUUUGUUUUAAUCCAAGCUGGUUAAUGGCAUAUUCGUAGCAACAUUGUUGUACACUAAAAAAAAAAAUGCAAAAAUCUUACAAUGCCAGUUUAACAAAAAGCUUGCCAUUAAUAAAGUUAUCCUAAGGAUAAACACAAAAUAACUUAGUUUAGUAAAUUAAAAAUAGCUGAGAAAAAUUGCUUCUGUGAAUUCUUAUACUGCGAAUAAAAAUAAGAGUUUGUGAGGCGCAUAAAUGUGUCCUUUUGCUGAAAGCAGAACACAACCAUUAUCCUGGCAAUGAUUUGUUGGAUCAAAAGGAGAGAUCAGUUAAGGGACUAGUUUGUAAUUUUUCAAGCUUGAGAAAUUAAAUUAUUAAAGGAAGUGAAUAGUUCAGUUCCACUUUUACUCAAGGAGAAACUCCCACUAAAGUCAGAAAAGGCAGUAAUGGGGAGCUUUUCUUGAAUGUGUGCAUAAUUCCAAGAGGAUCAGAUGGAUCUUCGGUGAUUAUUUUCUGGCAUGCCUAUAGAUGAAAUAACAGUGUAUGACUUUAAUACAGAACACAGAUUAUAGAACUGUGCAACAUUGCUAGUUUUCACUAUCCAGUCCUCUUCUGAAGUGAGGGACUGGCUUGUGUUUAAUGUCCUUUGUAUGCUUUGCAGUGAUACCAUUUCUCCAUCCUCUUAUUGACCCAAGCGUCCUCUGGGCAGAGCACUCGCAGAAUAUGGGAGACCUAGUUCAAAUUUCUUCACUAAUGUGAAGGUGGGAAUUGAACCAGGUCUUUGAUCUGUCUCUUGCACAUCCUCUACUGGUGUUAAAGCUGUUCCACUUCAUAUGAUAAUUAGUAUUCUUGGGACCAGAGAGAACUUGAAAGUGAUUCUAUAGUACAGUGACGAGGCACUCAUGAAGGUGCGAGAAGAGCUAGAUUUGAAUCUCUGUUCCACAUCUGGUACAUAGGGAUUUAAACCCCAGUAUACCAUAUCCUGAGAGCAUAUCACUUGGGCUACUGAUACAUUUCUCUGUUACUAUUUUCAUAUAGUUUUUGGUGUUUUAGAGCACAAUAAUAUCUGAGGACUUCCCCACUGAUAUAGAAAAUGAGAGCCAAGUUCUCUUAUUUAUGGUGGUGUAAAUCUGGUGUAGCUCCAUUGAUGGCCAGGAGAUUAUAGUACACCAAUGUGCUGAAGCAAGAAUGUGUCCUCAAAUGUGCACUUUUCAGACUGGCACUGGAAACAGUGUUCUUUAAAAAUACUUAUCUAUGUAUUCUCUCUCAUCGGUUCAGUGUUUUCAAAAAUCUAAAUGUCAGACCUGCUGAUUAUAGUGAGUUUUAACUCCUUCCCUUAGGAAAGAGUACAAGGUUGCUCAGAUUACAUGAGACUCAUAAAGAGGUGAACUAGAAAUCGAGUUGCACUUUGGACUUUCUUUGGACUUCUUUUUUGGUACGAAUGUCAGAUAAGUUUAGUUUCCCACUUGUUCUAUCUCAGAUAUAAUCUUGGCAAUAUCUCAGACAGAAAAACUUCAAAAACAGAUUGCAGAGAGAAACUGCUGAUCUAGAAUUCAUAUGGAAAUUUGACAGCCUCAACAAAGGUCUAAAUAAACAUAUGGAGCGGUUCUCGCAUUACAAUAGAUAACUUCCUAUUCAAGUUUUCCCACUUCUCACCACUGUUAGGGUACGUCUACA
This is a non-coding RNA of Pelodiscus sinensis (Chinese soft-shelled turtle), 2456 nucleotides long. The record is from RefSeq and is a predicted model, not a curated record. Lineage: Eukaryota; Metazoa; Chordata; Testudines; Trionychidae.